RNAcentral lists this unclassified non-coding RNA (253 nucleotides) under uncultured Anaerolineae bacterium. RNAcentral's name for it is "contains 16S-23S intergenic spacer region". It matches the Rfam family "Bacterial small subunit ribosomal RNA", at positions 524 to 776 of the family's 1533-position model. Lineage: Bacteria; Bacillati; Chloroflexota; Anaerolineae. The record is from RNAcentral.
AACGUAGGAGGCAAGCGUUAUCAGGAUUUACUGGGCGUAAAGCGCCUGCAGGCGGAAGCCAAAGUCGGACGUGAAAGCUCCUGGCUCAACUAGGAGAGGCCGUUCGAAACUGGGCAUCUGGAGGCUGGUAGAGGAGAGUGGAAUUCCCGGUGUAGUGGUGAAAUGCGUAGAUAUCGGGAGGAACACCAGUGGCGAAAGCGGCUCUCUGGGCCAGUCCUGACGCUCAGAUGCGAAAGCUAGGGUAGCAAACGGG